AGCUCCUGUCACUUUGACCUGAACGUGAUGCCAGUGUGGAGCAGGAACAGCACAGGGAAUGGAGUGGAGGUCAGCAUCAUCGAUGACGGUAUCGAUCUUCUGGACGGCACGGUGACGGAUUCCGUGGAGGCCACAUCUCUGACCUUCAACAAUGACUUCAUUGAUGUGUACGUGUGCUGCUGAGGCACGCGGGACGACGGACAGGAAAUGGCCGGGGACACUCACACAGAAAGCACUGAGGCUGGGCAAGG
Molecule: long non-coding RNA, 251 nt
Organism: Oncorhynchus tshawytscha (Chinook salmon)
Lineage: Eukaryota; Metazoa; Chordata; Actinopteri; Salmoniformes; Salmonidae
Source: Ensembl